This 561-nucleotide ribosomal RNA is filed under the name Bougainvillia sp. 3.22.16.14. Its description in RNAcentral is "partial large subunit ribosomal RNA". It matches the Rfam family "Bacterial large subunit ribosomal RNA", at positions 1889 to 2602 of the family's 2925-position model. Lineage: Eukaryota; Metazoa; Cnidaria; Hydrozoa; Anthoathecata; Bougainvilliidae. The record is from RNAcentral.
UAAAUUAAAUAAAUAUAAACAUUUUUAAUAUGACUUAAAGGACGCAGUAUCCUGACUGUGAUAAUGUAGCAUAAUCACUCGCCACUUAAUUGGUGGAUAGUAUGAAUGGUUGAACGAAUAUUACACUGUCUCCUUAAGAAAAUUCAUGAAACUAAAGUAAUAGUAAAGAUGCUAUUUAAAACUGUAAGACGAAAAGACCCUAUAGAGCUUGACUAUAAUCUAUAUAACCAUAAUAAGGAAAAACACCCUAAAAUAAUAUAGAUUGGUAGUUUAGUUGGGGCGACUAUCUUUUAAAAUUAACAAAGAUAAGCAAUGUUAAUAGAAAAACUUAUUGUAUAAAACAUUAUUUUAACAAUUAUAAUAAUAGGCUAUAAUGACCCAUUAAUAUUUAGUAGAAAAAUUAAUGAUCAAUUAAUAAAAGCUACCUUAGGGAUAACAGGAUAAUUUUGCUCUAGAGAUCUUAUCGAAAGCAAAGUUUGUCACCUCUAUGUUGAAUUAAGAUAUCCUGAUAGUGCAGAAGCUAUCAAAGGUAGGUCUGUUCGACCUUUAAAAUCUUACAUG